GCGCUUGUUGAGCGGGAGGGCAUCCAAGGAGGUCCAGAGGUUGGGGAUGCAGAUAAGGGGGUGCUGGCGGCGGCGCUUGUUCAACUGUCAACGACGAGGCCGACGUGAGGAGCAAGCGGCGAGGACGACGACCUGACAUGCGGACUGGCCAGCUCCCAGGCUCCUCUGCCGCUCCUUCCCCCCCAUCGGCCAGGAACAGCAGCUUGAGGUCUGGAGGUACGCUACCUCAUUCUCAUCUCUUUCCUUUCUUGCUUUCUCACUUUGGCUUCUACAGAAUUGAAUCUCACCUUAAUGUUGAGAUGUUGAAUCUCACUUUGGCCUGCAGAUUGAUUUGAAUCAAGAAUUUGUACAGUUGCUUGAUGAAGGUAGAGGUAAUUAGGAUACGGUUCAGUCUGGUUUAGUGUGUUCUCUGUUUCGUAGUUGAUCUGGGAGAUGCUGCACUAAUUUCUUUGGACCCAUUUUGUAAAUGCAGGUUGUUUUCUUGGAACUCUGUCAAAGCAGGGUUACCAUUCUGGAGCCACAACACCUUCAGGUAUGAACAUUCGACAUGUGUUAGAAACUACAGGAAGAAAAUGCUCCUAUAAUCAUCAUUGGCUCGUCAAAAUUAACUUGUGAUAUUGAAAUUGAAUUAUCAGGAAGCACUAUAAGAAUUUGAGUCCGUUGUGCUUUGAUCUUUAUCUAUUGUUCUCUCUAGUGGUGAAGAAAACCACUUAAGAUGGCGCUGGAGCUCACAGAAUUAAUCUCAAUAUGAAACUCUCUGGUGGAUUUAUCUAAUAAUAUAUUUGGGUAAGAAAAUAUGUGCAAAGUUUUCCCAAGAGAUAUCUCUUUAACAAUUUGGACUGGAUGACACUUGUGAAGUUCGCCCAAUAUAACGUUGUUCUAAAAUUGUUGGUAAAUGAAACUUUGUUCAGAAUUUAACAUACUUAAGUUGGUUGAAAAAAAGGCCUUCAAGCUGUGGAUGUGGCAUUUGUACAUUCUCAUGGACACCAAUCUUGCCAAGUACUGUUAGAUAAAAUCACAUUGGUUUAUCUUCACCGGACUAUAAAUCAUUUUAAGUUUACUUGCGCUUGCUCAUGCAUGAGCAGUGCUUCUCUUGGUAUAUUGUUUUUACAGAUCCUUCAUUAAGUGCAAGUAUUUAAUCUUUGUCCUAUAAUGUUAUACCUAUUUUAUCAUUGAAACCGUACCUUUUAAAUUAUUCCAGAUGUAAUCUCCAGUUUGGAGUAAACUAUUAUAGACUGAUGAAACUGAGCUGAAAUGAUUAUUCCAAAAUCUUGUUCAGGGCGAACCAAUUGAAUUUAGUGAAGCGAGAGCUGGUGAGCGAAUCAGGCAGUGGAGCAGCCCUGCGCCACUUGAGAUCUACGCAUGGGAUCGAGACCAACUAGCACUGCGAUGGCCUACUCAACAAAACGUGUGAGAUCUCAGUUGGUACUCUGCCUUACACGGUCACAACGGUAUGGAAGUGUAGGUAGAUUUUAAAUACAUGAGAACCUUACUUUCCUGCAAACGGAUAUAGUAUCCUCUCAUUUAUGCAUCUCAAUCAAUGAAUGUCCUGACAGCU
RNAcentral lists this long non-coding RNA (1558 nucleotides) under Triticum aestivum (bread wheat). Its description in RNAcentral is "long non-coding RNA (TAES_LNC021055)". Lineage: Eukaryota; Viridiplantae; Streptophyta; Magnoliopsida; Poales; Poaceae. The record is from RNAcentral.